UACGUAGGGUGCGAGCGUUAAUCGGAAUUACUGGGCGUAAAGCGUGCGCAGGCGGUUUUGUAAGCCAGAUGUGAAAUCCCCGGGCUUAACCUGGGAAUGGCAUUUGGGACUGCAAGGCUUGAGUGCGGCAGAGGAGUGUGGAAUUCCUGGUGUAGCGGUGAAAUGCGCAGAUAUCGAGGAGGAACACCGAUUGCGAAGGCAGCUCGCUGGAACGUUACUGACGCUGAGACGCGAAAGCGUGGGGAGCAACAGG
This 253-nucleotide ribosomal RNA is filed under the name uncultured bacterium. Its description in RNAcentral is "partial 16S ribosomal RNA". It matches the Rfam family "Bacterial small subunit ribosomal RNA", at positions 524 to 775 of the family's 1533-position model. The record is from RNAcentral.